GCCCGGGUGGCGGAAUAGGCAGACGCGCUAGCUUGAGGGGCUAGUUCCCUUAGGGGAGUGCUGGUUCGACUCCAGUCCCGGGCA
Molecule: transfer RNA, 84 nt
Filed under: Phycisphaerales bacterium
Lineage: Bacteria; Pseudomonadati; Planctomycetota; Phycisphaerae; Phycisphaerales
Description: tRNA-Leu
Rfam family: tRNA
About the family: Transfer RNA (tRNA) molecules are approximately 80 nucleotides in length. Their secondary structure includes four short double-helical elements and three loops (D, anti-codon, and T loops). Further hydrogen bonds mediate the characteristic L-shaped molecular structure. tRNAs have two regions of fundamental functional importance: the anti-codon, which is responsible for specific mRNA codon recognition, and the 3' end, to which the tRNAs corresponding amino acid is attached (by aminoacyl-tRNA synthetases). tRNAs cope with the degeneracy of the genetic code in two manners: having more than one tRNA (with a specific anti-codon) for a particular amino acid; and 'wobble' base-pairing, i.e. permitting non-standard base-pairing at the 3rd anti-codon position.
Source: RNAcentral